Long non-coding RNA from Canis lupus familiaris (dog), 1085 nucleotides. RefSeq lists it as uncharacterized. The record is from RefSeq and is a predicted model, not a curated record. The transcript is spliced from 3 exons. Lineage: Eukaryota; Metazoa; Chordata; Mammalia; Carnivora; Canidae.
UUAUAUCUACCCAUCUUCCUUCCUGUGUGAGAUUCUGUUCUAUUAGGACCUUAGGCAGAGUGCUGCGGCUGCUAACUUCCAAUCAUGAAAGAAGGGCCAAGAGAAUCACAGAGAUGCUUCACCAGCCACUGAUCCACCAGCCACGGAACCACUGGCCACCAGAAUUUUUAUGACCUUGAAGGCGCCAUGCUCCAGAUGGUGAAGCUAAAGAUGGAAGAAACUUUGAUUCUCCAGUCACCAUUUGGAAGAGAGCUUCUUUGGACAGCUGCCCAAAUUGCAUCAGACUCUUGAACAUGUGUCAUUGCAUUUUGGGAAAGAUUCAUUUUUGCUUAGUGGAGACAUAGCAAGAAACUGGAGCCUCAAUCUGGUGAUCUGCAAGAAAGACAUCGUACCAGAAAUAAUCACCAUGUUUACAUUGGUUAUGUCCAUCAGGACAUUAAACAAUUGUUGUUCCUAAAUAGGCCAGAGAAGAGAAACAAAAAAUCUAAUGAGCAUCAUUAUUGAAGUGGCUUCAAUCUCAGAACCCAAAUUACAAUUAUUAUUUGCCUCUAAGGCUUCUGAUUAUAUAGGAAUUCUUCAAUAACAAUUUAUCUCUUCCAGAAAUUUGUUCUUCAUUCUUAAAAUAGAAGCCUAACUCUUCCAUGAAUAUAAUGAUGAAAGAUGAGAGCAUGCAGCCUAAUCCAUUUGUAUGAAUGAGUUGGUUUGAUUUCCUUUUUGGCAACUCCAAACCCAAAGCAUUAGGAAUAAAUGUGUUCAUUCAACAAAAAAUGCGUCUUAUUUGAUUGAAUAAUGCUCUGAUCCAAGCAAAAAAGUCUGAAAAAGUGGAAAGGAUUUGUGAGGAAGCUAAUGAGAUAUUCAUAUUGUAAUAGAAAUAAAGCCACUCACUGGAAUUUUUUGGAGACAUAUUUAAUUCUCAUCUGGAAUGUAAGAACAGCACACAGCUCUUUCCCACUGACACAUAGUUUCUAAACAGUUCUAGUUAUUCCCUGGUCCUACAACCAAUUGUUUAUUUAGCCUUUGGUAUUGGUAAUGCCUGUGUCUGUUAAGAUUUUUUGGUUAUCAUCAACAAAAAUUGACAUUUAAUA